RNAcentral lists this ribosomal RNA (586 nucleotides) under uncultured bacterium. Its description in RNAcentral is "bacterial SSU rRNA". It matches the Rfam family "Bacterial small subunit ribosomal RNA", at positions 338 to 916 of the family's 1533-position model. The record is from RNAcentral.
CCUACGGGAGGCAGCAGUGGGGAAUUUUGGACAAUGGGCGAAAGCCUGAUCCAGCAAUGCCGCGUGUGUGAAGAAGGCCUUCGGGUUGUAAAGCACUUUUGUCCGGAAAGAAAUCCUUGACUCUAAUACAGUCGGGGGAUGACGGUACCGGAAGAAUAAGCACCGGCUAACUACGUGCCAGCAGCCGCGGUAAUACGUAGGGUGCGAGCGUUAAUCGGAAUUACUGGGCGUAAAGCGUGCGCAGGCGGUUUGUUAAGACCGAUGUGAAAUCCCCGGGCUCAACCUGGGAACUGCAUUGGCGACUGGCAGGCUAGAGUAUGGCAGAGGGGGGUAGAAUUCCACGUGUAGCAGUGAAAUGCGUAGAGAUGUGGAGGAAUACCGAUGGCGAAGGCAGCCCCCUGGGCCAAUACUGACGCUCAUGCACGAAAGCGUGGGGAGCAAACAGGAUUAGAUACCCUGGUAGUCCACGCCCUAAACGAUGUCAACUAGUUGUUGGGGAUUCAUUUCCUUAGUAACGUAGCUAGCGCGUGAAGUUGACCGCCUGGGGAGUACGGUCGCAAGAUUAAAACUUCAAAGGAAUUGACGG